UGGGCUGUAAGCACAACCCCCACCUGUGGACAUCAGGCCCUCAUACCACCCUCAUGGAGUCUGUUUCUGACUGUUUGAGCAGACACAUGCACAUUUGUGGCCUGCUGGAGGUCAUUUUGCAGGGCUCUGGCAGUGCUCCUCCUGCUCCUCCUUGCACAAAGGCGGAGGUAGCGGUCCUGCUGCUGGGUUGUUGCCCUCCUACGGGCCUCCUCCACGUCUCCUGAUGUACUGGCCUGUCUCCUGGUAGCUCCUCCAUGCUCUGGACACUACGCUGACAGACACAGCAAACCUUCUUGCCACAUUUCGCAUUGAUGUGCCAUCCUGGAUGAGCUGCACUACCUGAGCCACUUGUGUGGUCACCACCUGCAGAACCACUCCUUUAUUGGGGGUGUCUUGCUAAUUGCCUAUAAUUUCCACCUGUUGUCUAUUCCAUUUGCACAACAGCAUGUGAAAUUUAUUGUCAAUCAGUGUUGCUUCCUAAGUGUACAGUUUGAUUUCACAGAAGUGUGAUAGACUUGGAGUUACAUUGUGUUUAAGUGUUCCCUUUUCAUAUGGGUCCUCUGUGGGAUAUGAACCCACAACCCUGGUGUUGCAAGCACCAUGUUCUACCAACUAAGCCACACAGGACUGGUAUAUGGUGUCCUUAUUCAUUCUAUUAUAUACUGUAUCUGUCUGGGCCUCUCUCUUUUUCACACGCAGUCCUCGUUCUUCCUCCAUUUGUAUUCUUUCCUUGUGUUUAUUGGGUGAGUCAUUAACUGAGUGCCCAGUGUUCAGCUCUAGGAACAGUUCCUGUGGUAACAUUCUCUCCCUACUGAGCUGUUACAGCUGUCCCAAUGCUGUGUUGCUGUUUACAAAACAACGUGUCUCUCUCUAGUUUAUAUGUGUGACUAAGAUACAGACAGUGGAUGGGAGGAAGUUGGGAAUGUCCGUAUUAAUCAUGUUAUGUUAACUAAUCCCUGGGCCUGCAUUAAUAAAGCUCUUAGAGUAGGAGUGCUGAUCUGGGAUCAGUUUACCCUUUUAGGUGAUAAUGAAUAAGUGUACUGUUAUGAAUACUGGCCCUGACUGACUCAGUGGGAGAGGGUUGUUGAUUUAAUGUUGAGGUAAGCUGAAACCACAGAAGUGCUGGUCUGAUUCAGACCAAGGCCUCUGAUAGGCCUACAGCAAGUGAUAAGAAGCCCAGGCACUGUGACUGAGUCAUACAGUACCUAAAUUCACCACACUUCUCUCCUUUCCUCCUCCCCCUCUGUUUCUAUCCAUCCCUCUGUUUCUGUCCAUCCCUCUCUUUCUAUCCAUCCCUCUCUUUCUGUCCAUCCCUCUCUUUCUGUCCAUCCCUCUGUUUCUAUCCAUCCCUCUCUUUCUGUCCACCCCUCUCUUUCUGUCCAUCCCUCUCUUUCUAUCCACCCCUCUCUUUCUGUCCAUCCCUCUCUUUCUGUCCAUCCCUCUCUUUCUAUCCAUCUCAUUUUUUCU
Molecule: long non-coding RNA, 1467 nt
Organism: Oncorhynchus tshawytscha (Chinook salmon)
Lineage: Eukaryota; Metazoa; Chordata; Actinopteri; Salmoniformes; Salmonidae
Source: Ensembl